RNAcentral lists this ribosomal RNA (2459 nucleotides) under Salmonella enterica subsp. enterica serovar Kentucky. RNAcentral describes it as "bacterial LSU rRNA". It matches the Rfam family "Bacterial large subunit ribosomal RNA", at positions 490 to 2925 of the family's 2925-position model. The record is from RNAcentral. Lineage: Bacteria; Pseudomonadati; Pseudomonadota; Gammaproteobacteria; Enterobacterales; Enterobacteriaceae.
GUGAACCAGUACCGUGAGGGAAAGGCGAAAAGAACCCCGGCGAGGGGAGUGAAAAAGAACCUGAAACCGUGUACGUACAAGCAGUGGGAGCACAGGUUUACCUGUGUGACUGCGUACCUUUUGUAUAAUGGGUCAGCGACUUAUAUUCUGUAGCAAGGUUAACCGAAUAGGGGAGCCGGAGGGAAACCGAGUCUUAAUCGGGCGUUAAGUUGCAGGGUAUAGACCCGAAACCCGGUGAUCUAGCCAUGGGCAGGUUGAAGGUUGGGUAACACUAACUGGAGGACCGAACCGACUAAUGUUGAAAAAUUAGCGGAUGACCUGUGGCUGGGGGUGAAAGGCCAAUCAAACCGGGAGAUAGCUGGUUCUCCCCGAAAGCUAUUUAGGUAGCGCCUCGUGAAUUCAUCUCCGGGGGUAGAGCACUGUUUCGGCUAGGGGGCCAUCCCGGCUUACCAACCCGAUGCAAACUGCGAAUACCGGAGAAUGUUAUCACGGGAGACACACGGCGGGUGCUAACGUCCGUCGUGAAGAGGGAAACAACCCAGACCGCCAGCUAAGGUCCCAAAGUCAUGGUUAAGUGGGAAACGAUGUGGGAAGGCCCAGACAGCCAGGAUGUUGGCUUAGAAGCAGCCAUCAUUUAAAGAAAGCGUAAUAGCUCACUGGUCGAGUCGGCCUGCGCGGAAGAUGUAACGGGGCUAAACCAUGCACCGAAGCUGCGGCAGCGACGCUGAUGCGUUGUUGGGUAGGGGAGCGUUCUGUAAGCCUGUGAAGGUGGCCUGUGAGGGUUGCUGGAGGUAUCAGAAGUGCGAAUGCUGACAUAAGUAACGAUAAAGCGGGUGAAAAGCCCGCUCGCCGGAAGACCAAGGGUUCCUGUCCAACGUUAAUCGGGGCAGGGUGAGUCGACCCCUAAGGCGAGGCCGAAAGGCGUAGUCGAUGGGAAACGGGUUAAUAUUCCCGUACUUGGUGUUACUGCGAAGGGGGGACGGAGAAGGCUAUGUUGGCCGGGCGACGGUUGUCCCGGUUUAAGCGUGUAGGUGUGUGUUCCAGGUAAAUCCGGUUCACUUUAACACUGAGGCGUGAUGACGAGGCACUACGGUGCUGAAGCAACAAAUGCCCUGCUUCCAGGAAAAGCCUCUAAGCAUCAGGUAACAUCAAAUCGUACCCCAAACCGACACAGGUGGUCAGGUAGAGAAUACCAAGGCGCUUGAGAGAACUCGGGUGAAGGAACUAGGCAAAAUGGUGCCGUAACUUCGGGAGAAGGCACGCUGACACGUAGGUGAAGUGAUUUACUCACGGAGCUGAAGUCAGUCGAAGAUACCAGCUGGCUGCAACUGUUUAUUAAAAACACAGCACUGUGCAAACACGAAAGUGGACGUAUACGGUGUGACGCCUGCCCGGUGCCGGAAGGUUAAUUGAUGGGGUCAGCGCAAGCGAAGCUCCUGAUCGAAGCCCCGGUAAACGGCGGCCGUAACUAUAACGGUCCUAAGGUAGCGAAAUUCCUUGUCGGGUAAGUUCCGACCUGCACGAAUGGCGUAAUGAUGGCCAGGCUGUCUCCACCCGAGACUCAGUGAAAUUGAACUCGCUGUGAAGAUGCAGUGUACCCGCGGCAAGACGGAAAGACCCCGUGAACCUUUACUAUAGCUUGACACUGAACAUUGAGCCUUGAUGUGUAGGAUAGGUGGGAGGCUUUGAAGUGUGGACGCCAGUCUGCAUGGAGCCGACCUUGAAAUACCACCCUUUAAUGUUUGAUGUUCUAACGUGGACCCGUGAUCCGGGUUGCGGACAGUGUCUGGUGGGUAGUUUGACUGGGGCGGUCUCCUCCUAAAGAGUAACGGAGGAGCACGAAGGUUGGCUAAUCCUGGUCGGACAUCAGGAGGUUAGUGCAAUGGCAUAAGCCAGCUUGACUGCGAGCGUGACGGCGCGAGCAGGUGCGAAAGCAGGUCAUAGUGAUCCGGUGGUUCUGAAUGGAAGGGCCAUCGCUCAACGGAUAAAAGGUACUCCGGGGAUAACAGGCUGAUACCGCCCAAGAGUUCAUAUCGACGGCGGUGUUUGGCACCUCGAUGUCGGCUCAUCACAUCCUGGGGCUGAAGUAGGUCCCAAGGGUAUGGCUGUUCGCCAUUUAAAGUGGUACGCGAGCUGGGUUUAGAACGUCGUGAGACAGUUCGGUCCCUAUCUGCCGUGGGCGCUGGAGAACUGAGGGGGGCUGCUCCUAGUACGAGAGGACCGGAGUGGACGCAUCACUGGUGUUCGGGUUGUCAUGCCAAUGGCACUGCCCGGUAGCUAAAUGCGGAAGAGAUAAGUGCUGAAAGCAUCUAAGCACGAAACUUGCCCCGAGAUGAGUUCUCCCUGAGACUUAAAGUCUCCUGAAGGAACGUUGAAGACGACGACGUUGAUAGGCCGGGUGUGUAAGCGCAGCGAUGCGUUGAGCUAACCGGUACUAAUGAACCGUGAGGCUUAACCUU